RNAcentral lists this long non-coding RNA (1420 nucleotides) under Apteryx rowi (Okarito brown kiwi). RNAcentral describes it as "lncRNA (ENSARWG00000015520.1)". The record is from RNAcentral. Lineage: Eukaryota; Metazoa; Chordata; Aves; Apterygiformes; Apterygidae.
AUGAACUUUGCAGUCUGGAGCUGUGCUUGGUCCCAGAACACGUGGGGAAGCCCAGGCCUUUUUUUUGCAAUAUGUUCAUUCCAAAUGUUGUCUUUCCUCAGGCGUCCUGGCUUUUUGAGACAAUCCUUGUGCGUGCAAUUGUGUAACGCUGAACGCUUUGGAGCGAGUGAGUCUGCUAGAGUUACAAGCUCUCGGCUCUGGGUUAUACCAGAAUCAGAGGAGGCAAGGACUAGGUCUUGCCCGCAGGAAAGAGCAUCAACCCUUCUUGGGGGGGAAAGAGAGCCCUGGCCAGUCCUUGGUCUGAACGUCUCCCCAGCUGUACGUCCACCUCAUCCUGGAAAUGAGCUGCAUGUACUUUCUCUGUUAGGAYUUUUCUCCAGUGACCCAGUUGAUCGCUGGCUGCUGCUGUCACUGGUGUAACCUCCAUGAUGUCUGCAACUUUAAAAGGAGGCACUGUGUUUCUUCUGCUCCUCCAAGAUUUGAGCAGAGUAGCCUAGUGAGACAGCAUUUCCCAAGUAGCUUCGUUUGCCACUGCUCUCCAACCCCCAUCAUCCCGGCUUAGACCCUCAGCUCUGCAUGAAGUGCCCUGGGGCGAAACUUGCUCUCUGCUAAGGCUUUUGGUGAGCUUUCAGCUUGGGCUGUUGAAGGGAGCAUCUCUUGCCAAACAGCAAGAGUGAUUGCCCCACUUCUGCAGUGAGCGUGGUCUCCUGAGGUGUGGGUGUUUAGGGUGAUGUGUGCAUGCGGAGCCCGGGCUGCUGCCUGCCACAAAUGCCCACCAGGUAUGGAUUUGGCAAGGGGAAACAGGGGUCUCCUGAGAGAUUUCUUCUAGGGAGAUGUCUCAGUUUGCACAAGGUGGCAGGCAACUAAACUUGCUAUAGAGUUAAUGUAAAGAGCAGAGCCUUUACAAGCAGGUGCAGAGUGGAGGGAUGGGACAAACUGGAAAGCUGGGGGUUGUCAAAGGGGUACAGAAAUCCCUAAAUGCUCAUGAGAGAUGGGAUCCAGAGCUGCCUCUGCUGCAGCGUUGCCUCCUUGGGGGCCAGCGUUGCUCUGCAUGCUGAAAUUGCACUUCGGGGAGUCUUUUAGCACAGCUGGAGAGAUGGUGGGUCUCGGCACUGAGCCGGCACAGCUGUGGCACUGGUGCGGGCAGGGCUCGGGGCUGGUGCGGGCUUGGUGGCCCUCGGUCCUCGCCUGGCUCCUAAAUGCAGUGCAGCCGUCCCUGGCAGUACCGAUGCUCCCCAGGCGGCCGGGACCAGCCGUAGCGUUUCCUUCUCUUCCCCGUUCCCAGCCAGCAUCGGGCUCCAGCUCUUACUGAAAAGGAAAAGGCGAAGGCCGUGGCUCAGGCGUACGGGAUCRCGUCCGAUUUUCUUUCUGUUAGCGUCUACGUUAGACCCGUGUAUCUUCUYUCGGCUGUUCGUGUCCC